GUAAAUUUGGUGAGUGCCUUGUUUCUUUGUCCUAGGCUGUGUAAGGACAGUAUUUCAGAGAUGGCUGUUUCUUAAGAUCCCAUAACGAGAGUUUAUCUUGAGUUGAUGCUACUUAUAAAGACUGAUACAGCUAACUGAUAAGUAAUUUUUGAAAGAAAGUGGUCUGUGAAACUUCCGUAGGCCCAGCAUCACUUCCUUCAGUAUCCAUCAUGGAUUUAACUGUAUUAACAGCUCUGAGGAGACCUGCCUGUGGAUUCAGAUGCCUUCAGCCUCCAGCCUCAAAAUCCAACUCUACACGAAGAUUUACCAACACAGACAGGGAGCUUUCCUUCAGAGGCCAUCCAAUUUCACAUUUUUUUUCCUUAUAGCAUCCUACUCCAUCCCUGCUGACCCCACUAGCCUUGACUAUCAUCGCUCAGAACCGGUCUCUCAGGGUGCACACUUCAGUGACUGAGAAUUUGGUAAAGUGGAGUCCCUGGGGUGCCUAAGAGGGAAUCUGUACUCGGAUUUAACCAGUGGCCACAGGGUGCUUCACCCUCCUAAGGCUAACACUUCAACCCAGUGUUCUUCUACCAGGACUAGCCCAAGGCCAAAGUAUGAUGGUGAAAACACUUUUCAGGACCCCUAAUUCCCUUCUCUGUUCUAAUGUCCUUCUCCCUCCCCAUCUCAAGGCCUAUCUUGGGAAUGGAAGGGACCUCAGCAGAGCUGUCGACCCUCCCCUGCUCCGAGAUUAUCACCUCCAUCCUCAGCCCCGGCCUGGCCAACCUGGUGACAGGUGGAGGUGACAUGGACAAAUAGUUUAGAGCUCUGUCUUCCACCAGGACAGAACAAGAGCAUGUGACCCGAGAGGCACUGGCCCCUGUUGAGGACCAGCCCACCACAACUGGACCUUGGGAAGCCCUACUUCUUCCGGGAUCAUUUUCCUCUCACUACCGCAGGGCUGCUAGGACACUUACACAAGGCUGUGGACAGCAAGGAGCCUCAGAUUUUACAACAGCAGGAUUCAGUGAUAAUGUUGAAUUUUAUCAAGUCUAGGAGCCAAGAGAAAAAUGGCAUGAAUAUCUUAGAAUGCCAGAAUGAUGUGAAAGCAUCUAAAAUAAAAGGCCCGGACCCCUAUUUGAGAGCAGACACCACAAUGGAUCCAGCAGCUGGGCUGCAUUUCUCCAGCUCACCUCCUGCCCCACCUCUCAAAGCAAUGUAUGAGAAAGAGUAAAGCCACACCUGAUAGCCAGGACUGGGCCUGGUACCCUCAGUUAUAUCUUGGUGUCCUUCUGCAGAACAUAAAUGUUUUUACAGACUAUGAACAUCAGACACAUCCACUCUGUGGCCAUGAUGGAUCAAGACACAAACAAGAUCACUUUAUGAUCCUGUUUAAACACAGAUAAAAUUGCAACAUUGUCUAAGCCACAAAAUGCCACUGCUCUCUCUCCUGACCAACAUCAGUGAGUGACUGCUGCUCCUUCACAAUUAUGGCACCAGCCUUGCUCAAGCUUCCCUCCUUACAGAUGAUUUAUUAAAAUACCAAUCAUAGAAUCACCCCGUUUCAAGGCAGCACAAAAUCCAGAGAAAAAGUCUUUUUCC
Long non-coding RNA from Herpailurus yagouaroundi (jaguarundi), 1581 nucleotides. RefSeq lists it as uncharacterized. The transcript has 3 exons. Lineage: Eukaryota; Metazoa; Chordata; Mammalia; Carnivora; Felidae. The record is from RefSeq and is a predicted model, not a curated record.